RNAcentral lists this ribosomal RNA (552 nucleotides) under uncultured bacterium. Its description in RNAcentral is "partial 16S ribosomal RNA". It matches the Rfam family "Bacterial small subunit ribosomal RNA", at positions 355 to 899 of the family's 1533-position model. The record is from RNAcentral.
UGGGGAAUUUUGGACAAUGGGCGAAAGCCUGAUCCAGCAAUGCCGCGUGUGUGAAGAAGGCCUUCGGGUUGUAAAGCACUUUUGUCCGGAAAGAAAUCCUUGGCUCUAAUACAGUCGGGGGAUGACGGUACCGGAAGAAUAAGCACCGGCUAACUACGUGCCAGCAGCCGCGGUAAUACGUAGGGUGCAAGCGUUAAUCGGAAUUACUGGGCGUAAAGCGUGCGCAGGCGGUUUGCUAAGACCGAUGUGAAAUCCCCGGGCUCAACCUGGGAACUGCAUUGGUGACUGGCAGGCUAGAGUAUGGCAGAGGGGGGUUAGAAUUCCACGUGUAGCAGUGAAAUGCGUAGAGAUGUGGAGGAAUACCGAUGGCGAAGGCAGCCCCCUGGGCCAAUACUGACGCUCAUGCACGAAAGCGUGGGGAGCAAACAGGAUUAGAUACCCUGGUAGUCCACGCCCUAAACGAUGUCAACUAGUUGUUGGGGAUUCAUUUCCUUAGUAACGUAGCUAACGCGUGAAGUUGACCGCCUGGGGAGUACGGUCGCAAGAUUAAAA